Molecule: ribosomal RNA, 347 nt
Filed under: Pronauphoeta cf. viridula MNHN BL126
Lineage: Eukaryota; Metazoa; Arthropoda; Insecta; Blattodea; Blaberidae
Description: partial 12S ribosomal RNA
Source: RNAcentral
UAUAGAUUUAAAAUUGAUAAAACUAAAGUAGUAUUAGUUAUGAUCUUGAAACUUAAAGAAUUUGGCGGUAUUUUAGUCUAUUUAGAGGAAUCUGUUCCAUAAUCGAUAAUCCACGUUGGACCUUACUUUAUUUAUUUAGUUUGUAUACCGCCGUUGUUGAAAAUCUUUAUAGGGAAUUUUCUUAAUAUUAUAAUUUAUAGUAUUUCAGGUCAAGGUGCAGCUUAUAAAAAAGUGGAAAUGGAUUACAUUAUUUUAAAAUGUGAAUUAGAUUAUGAAAAAUUUUAUGAAAGUGGAUUUAAUAGUAAUUAUGUAAAUAUAAACAUUAUGAUUUAAGCUCUAGAAUGUGU